GAUACCUUUUGUGAUGAGAAAACAAUAUUUAUGGAGCCUAUGCAAAGAAAGAGGAUUUAUUUUUUUUCUGGCUAUGGCUAGAAUACUACAGCUGUAAAUGGAAUGCUUACAUUGAGAAGGCAGUGAAACCUGAAAGUACAGACCUGACCUACCUGCUAGAGCUGAGCUUACAGCAGCGAAGGAGCUCUCAAGGAAAAAAAGAAAAGAAAAGAUAACACGAAGUGUUAAAGAGGGAACAUUUCUAAGGGUCAGGGAGAGGUGUGUGAAGGAGAAAGAGUUUGUUUCAGCUCAGCAAAUACCUAUUUAUCACCUGCUCUAUACUAAGCAUUGAGCUUCACAGCAAGAUAGAGAAUAAGAACAUGCUUGAACCUACCCCUGGAUGAAAGGAGAGAGGAGAAAUGAGAAUGUUGAUGCCGUGGGAGAAGCACAUCAUGAAGGUGGCACCAAACUAGUUUCCAUGAAAUCCCAGAGAGGCCUGCGAGGGAGGAUGUGAGGGUGGGUUCCUCAGAAAGAUGGGUAUGGAAGGACAAGUAAAACUAAACAAGGGGAAAAAAAGAGAGAACCUUUGAGGCAGAGGGAAUGACAUUCACAAAGGCACAGUCAGUAAACAGCAAGGUAUGUUUGCAGAGCAACACGGAGGGCUGGAUAUGAGGUAUGUGAACAUCGCCAGAGUGACAAGCAGAGCAGAGAAUGCUGAUGAGGUUGGGAAGUCAGACUCCUGGACAUCAGACAAGAGAGUUGAAGACAGGGAUGCUGAGCGAAGGAGUCCAUAUAUUCUCCAUAACUCGAAUUACUACAAUGAAUUGCUCCAUUACUCACCUUUGCACUGGACAUUAAUCACAAAAACAAAAAACUGCAGAGCCAGGAAGUUAGUGAGGAUGUGCUAUUUCAACCCUGCACCCUGUGCCAAGUGGAUGCAGCUGCAAUGAGGAAUCUGCAGUGCUCCCCUUUCCCAUCUGUUUUUUAAACCAUUAGUGCAGAAGUUUGUGGGAGAAACUCACAGCCGUGACUGGGAUAGAGCUGGACUCUUGGGAAAGGCUUGCUGAAAUUCAAAUCACUUGCGAGUCACCUGCCCACAAAGGACAUACUAGGUCCACCUCUGGCUCCUAGUGUUUCCCAUUCGCCCUGCCUGCACAGGCUCAGGCCUGAUUAUACCAAACUGCUUGAAAAUCUGAAAUAUUAAAAACAUCCAUACUAAAGAAUAUUAUGGAACCAC
Molecule: long non-coding RNA, 1216 nt
Filed under: Macaca mulatta (Rhesus monkey)
Lineage: Eukaryota; Metazoa; Chordata; Mammalia; Primates; Cercopithecidae
Description: lncRNA (ENSMMUG00000062179.1)
Source: RNAcentral